Molecule: long non-coding RNA, 336 nt
Filed under: Eucalyptus grandis
Lineage: Eukaryota; Viridiplantae; Streptophyta; Magnoliopsida; Myrtales; Myrtaceae
Description: long non-coding RNA (EGRA_LNC005809)
Source: RNAcentral
ACGAGCAACAAACCAGCACCCACGCACGUUCGAAGCAAAACGCAGCAGCAGCGGCGUAACAGAAAAACCACGAGCGACGCCGCGAGAACUACUAAAAUGCCAAGAAACACACGCACGCACACACAGAAACACCGCGAAGCUCGCGGCGAGCAACUGCAAAAGGUCGCGAGAGCUUACCCCAGAACUCCAUCGGAAGGGCCAUCGAGAGCUUUCUAGCUCGAAGAGAGGAGGCGAGGCGAGGCGAGGCGAGGCGAGGCGAGGAGAGGAAGCUCUGCCGGGCGCCAAAAGCUAGCUAGAGAGAGAUCGAGGGUUCAGGGAGGAAGAGCGAGGCGAGGG